RNAcentral lists this long non-coding RNA (283 nucleotides) under Parus major (Great Tit). Its description in RNAcentral is "lncRNA (ENSPMJG00000014946.1)". The record is from RNAcentral. Lineage: Eukaryota; Metazoa; Chordata; Aves; Passeriformes; Paridae.
AAAUUCAAAAUAUGAAGGGCUUAUAUUCAGAAAGUGUUUAAACAAACCUUCUGAUAGGUUAAUUCCCCCCUGCCCCCCCUGUCAUCAUUUGUUUUGGCAAAACCAGUUUAUUGAAUUUGUUCAAACUUCAGAGAAUGAUCAGCCAACCUGAAAUGUGUUUUGUGACUAAUGAUUUACCAAAAGAAAUUUACUGUCUUCUUCCCAGGAGGCAUAUCAUUUAUCUGGAAGUUCACGAUGUGUAGCCACUGGAUAAUUUUCAAAGGCUCCCGGGCUCCGACCUUUG